Podarcis lilfordi (Lilford's wall lizard) is the source of this 73-nucleotide non-coding RNA. NCBI's taxonomy places the organism in Eukaryota, Metazoa, Chordata, Lepidosauria, Squamata, Lacertidae. The record is from the annotation of a GenBank genome assembly.
GGAUGUUGCUCAACAGUGGUGGAGCAUUUGCUCUGCAUGCAGAAGAUCCUAGAUUCAAUUUCUGGCAUCUGCA